CGGAAAGGCCCUUUCGGGGGUACUCGAGCGGCGAACGGGUGAGUUACACGUGAGUUAUCUGCCCUUGGCUUCGGGAUAGCCACCGGAAACGGUGAUUAAUACCGGAUACGACACAUCACUGCAUGGUGCGUGUGUGGAAAGUUUUUUCGGCCAGGGAUGUGCUCGCGGCCUAUCAGCUUGUUGGUGGGGUAAUGGCCUACCAAGGCUUCGACGGGUAGCCGGCCUGAGAGGGUGACCGGCCACACUGGGACUGAGACACGGCCCAGACUCCUACGGGAGGCAGCAGUGGGGAAUAUUGGACAAUGGGCGGAAGCCUGAUCCAGCAACGCCGCGUGAGGGAUGACGGCCUUCGGGUUGUAAACCUCUUUCAGCACAGACGAAGCGCAAGUUACGGUAUGUGCAGAAGAAGGACCGGCCAACUACGUGCCAGCAGCCGCGGUAAUACGUAGGGUCCGAGCGUUGUCCGGAAUUAUUGGGCGUAAAGGGCUCGUAGGCGGUUUGUCGCGUCGGGAGUGAAAACACCGGGCUUAACUCGGUGCUUGCUUUCGAUACGGGCAGACUAGAGGUAUUCAGGGGAGAACGGAAUUCCUGGUGUAGCGGUGAAAUGCGCAGAUAUCAGGAGGAACACCGGUGGCGAAGGCGGUUCUCUGGGAAUAUCCUGACGCUGAGGAGCGAAAGUGUGGGGAGCGAACAGGAUUAGAUACCCUGGUAGUCCACACCGUAAACGUUGGGCGCUAGGUGUGGGGUCCAUUCCACGGAUUCCGUGCCGCAGUAA
Molecule: ribosomal RNA, 775 nt
Filed under: uncultured Nocardioides sp.
Lineage: Bacteria; Bacillati; Actinomycetota; Actinomycetes; Propionibacteriales; Nocardioidaceae
Description: bacterial SSU rRNA
Rfam family: Bacterial small subunit ribosomal RNA
Source: RNAcentral